This 2904-nucleotide long non-coding RNA is filed under the name Mus musculus (house mouse). RNAcentral's name for it is "long non-coding RNA chr2:4565497-4568401". The record is from RNAcentral. Lineage: Eukaryota; Metazoa; Chordata; Mammalia; Rodentia; Muridae.
ACACACACACACACACACACACACACACACACACACACACCAGGGAGUUUAGAGCAGAUUACUACUACCACUUCACUGGGAAUGUAUCUGUACUGGAUAAGCAGACCUUUCAGGGAACAUCUGUCUACUUAGAGUGAUGCAGGAAGUCUCCCCAUGUAGGAAAUGCUCUGGACUGUGGAGAGGAGGAAAGAAUUCACCCAUCUUCCCCACAGGCAGCAUCGCCUGGUUAAUGAAGAGCAUUAAGAGCACUGUCAAACUUUUUUUCCUGACUCUGAAAUCUGUCUUGGCUCCUUGCCAAGAAUUGAAGAUCAAAAAGGACCAUCAGGUGACCUAGAGUGACCCAUCUUGCCCAGGGGCUAAAGCAUGAGGAGUCAGCUUCUAGACACAGCAUGGCCACGUGAACCCUUCAGUGUGUAUGUACCUGUGUCCUUGUGUUUCAGGGUGAACUCCCCUGUCCCCUUCUCGUAAUAGGCUCUCACUUAAAGUUGUUUAUUGAAUGGUGUCUCCCCACCACCACAGGGACUGAAUGAAGCUUGUACUCCUUGCUUUUGCAGGGCUUCAGUGACCAGGAGGACUUUUGGGCACAGUGGCAUUGCCGUGCACACCUGGUAUGCGUGUCCGGCAUUGAUCAAGUCCAUUUGGGCGAUGGCUAUUAGCCAGCAUCAGUUCUAUCUGGACAGAAAGCAGAGUAAGGUAAGCCACCAGACCUUCUACCAGGCGGCUAACUGGGCCUCAAGGCAGCAGUGUAGGGAUGGAAUUAGAUGGGUAGAGGAGGAGGGAGGGGCUGUGUCCUUGGCCUGAGACCUAUCUGGGUAAGGCCUUGCCUCUUGGGGCUGCAGGUAGGAAGAACAUCAGAAAAUCUUUAAGAGGCCAUGCUGGGUGCUACCUAGCAGGGUACAUACAACUCAGGGUACAACCCAGCCACCACCAGAGGUGCUUAAGCCUCAGGUACAGACCCAGGGAAUUCUGAACAUACUUUCGGGGCCUCUGGAGACUCUCUUAAUAAGUUCUCACACCCUUACCUAUAUUUAAACAGUGGUAUAUUGUUUUCUUUGGGGUGAGAGUGCAGAUAACCAUCCCCACCACACCGACAGGAAUAACCGCUCAGGGAAAUUGCUGUGAAAAGCCCUCCAGCCUUUCCCACCUGCCAACUCUGUUUUUAAAAUGUAAAGCUGGAAAAGUGAAAAGGAAAACAAAACAGAAGCAACACCAGCUCUGACUCCCUCUGGUAGACCUGGAGCCAGGGGCCUUGGGAGCCUGCCAUCUCUGCACCCAGGAGGUUCAUCCACCCCCAGCCUGAAGGGCCAGCUGUGCUCUCUGGUGGGUGGGAGAACCACACACUUUUGGUUCACAUAGGGCUUACAACAACACACCAGCCCUCUUUCUCCACCUGGCUUCCCUUCCUUCUUUUCCAGGGACCCCACAGGCCACUCCCACUCAGGGGAUCUCCGAAGGGGCCCUGAUGUGGAGAAGGCUGUAAGCCUGCAGUAGGAUUCUACAGGCUUCAGGUCAUGGGAACACCGGGCAAGAUCAGCCUUGGCCCCUCUGGUGGCUCCCAGCAGCCAUAGAAGUUGCCUCCCCCUGUUCCCAGGGGCAGGUGGCAGUUAAUGCAUCAGGGUGAUUGGACUGGUGGUACCCUCUGGGCUCUUGUUCCUUUGCUGUGGGGUUUCUCUUUCCUAUGGAGAGAAAGCAGGAAUUGAAAGUAACAUAACUUGCAACUAGUAAAAGGAAACUGGCAGAAAUGCCCCCCCCCCCCCGCCCGGCCCAGUUCACUUCCAAAUCAUGGCCUGUCCCCAUCACAGCCACCAUCUGCUUUGUAAAGAAUUUAUUGGGUUUUUUUUAGUCUUUCUGACCCCUUUAUUUAGUCCCUUUUGGGGUGACCAAGUCUGAAGGUGUGUGUGGUGUUCUUGUGGCUGGAAAUCAUGAGUGUAUCCUACACUCGUCUAGUGGCGACGGGCCUUAGCACAAGCCUGUGAAGCUUGGUUAGGUCAAAAGAAACAGGGCCACGGGGGUUUGACUCAUGGUAGAUGUUGAGACAGUGGGUGGGGGUUGGUGCCUUGCUCUCUGGUAGAUAGCAUUAGAGGUCAACACCCACAAACAUGGGUGGGUUAUAACGGUUGGAAGAUGGAAUGUUUCUCCUGAAUUCCCAGUGUCCGUGACUCUUAAGGGUAGAAUCCUACCCCACCCUCAAAUUCUAAUGCCAUAGUUUGCAAUGGAGACAGGAAGUAGCCUAUGUCACCCACAGGAUAGUGUAGUGUCAGCGGCUGGCUUGGUCCUCUUCCCCAGGCUGGUGGUUUUUGUUUUGGGGUUUUUUUGGUUGUUUUUUGUGUUUGUUUUCAGUUUCCUGAGUGUCUCAAGUAGUCUAUUCUUGGGGUUCUUUACACACACACACAAAUGCCUAUGAGAAGUCUUUAGUAGACUUCCAGUUAGCCACAAUGGAUACAGUAAGCGAAGCCCAGGAAGAAAUGAUCACCAAUCCUUUUUUAACAGGAAGCAUUAUUAAGAGACAAACCAAGGGCUGGAGAGAUAGCUCAGUGGUUAAGAACACUGGCAGCUCUUCCAGAUCAGGGUUCAGUUCCCAGCACCUACAUAGCACUUCAUAACUCCCUCUGACUCCAGUUCCAGGGCGUCUGACAAUCUCACACAGAUGUAUAUGCAGGAAAUAGAAGAAUGCACAUAAAAUAAAAAUAAAUUAUGAGAGAGAGAGAGAGAGAGAGAGAGAGAGAGAGAGAGAGAGAGAAAGAGAGAGAGAGAGCAAGAGAGAGACCCAACUAUAGGAGGUGGCCCAAACCUGUAAUUCUAGCUCUUGAGAGGCAAAGACAGGGAGACUGCUUCUUCAGGGCAAGCCUAAUCUAUAUAGAAAGUUCUAGACUAGCUAAGGUUACUUACUUAGUGAGACUGCCU